CAUUCAUGGUAUCCUCAGCACUCUUCUCCAGCACCACAUCUCAAAUGAGUUUUUAUUCUUACCGCUUUAUUCACUCUCCAGCUCUCACAUCUGUACAUGGUAAUAAGGAAUACAGUAGCCUGGAUUAUUCUGACAUCAGUGAUCAGUCGUAUGUCUUUACUCUUUAGAAACGUGUCUAGUUCUUUCAUAGCUGUCCUUGCAAUUCCUAGUUUUGGUGGGAUUUCUUGACUGCAGUUUCUAUUCCAAUCAAAAUUUGGUCCAAGGUAUGGGAACUCUUUAACUACAGUGGGACCUUGGUAUCCGCGGGGGUCCAAUCCAGACCAUCCUCCUUGCAGAUACCAAAAUCCACAGGACCUCAAGUCCUGUUGUCCCCAAUAGUUGUGUGUGCAUACAGCCACACCACCAUUAGGGGCAACCCUCGUUGUCCCUAGUGGCAGCACAUGCAUGCGGUCAUGCCACCCUUAGGGACAACGAGAUUUCAGGUGAAGUCCUAUUGUUCCUAAUGGCGGCUCAGCCACAUGCACAUACCACCGUUGGGGACAACUGGGGCUUGCCAGCUACAGACACUUAAAUCCAUAGAGGGCAAAUACAUGGAUAGCAAGGCCCCACUGUAUUUUGAUUUCCUCAUUGUCUCAGUUGAAGUUAUGUAUAUCAUGUACAACCAUUAUUUAUGUUUUCUUUAUGUAAGCAGUGGCAUCAUUAGGGGGAGCAGGGGUGCGGACCCAGAAGAGGGGUGACACGUGGCUGAGCAGACACAACCCAUACACCAUUCUACUCACAAGUAGAGCAGCACGCAGCAGAGAGGUGAGGCGGUGUGCCCUUUUGGCUUGGCCCCCUGGAAGCCUCCCCCCCACACCAGCUUAUGCUAUUGGCAGUAAGGCUACCUUUGCAGUUUCUUUUUUGACCUUCCUUAGUAGUGAUGUUUUCUGUUAGUAGUAUGGUUUUGUCCACAUAUCUUGGCAUUCGUUCCUCUUCACUCCUCCUCCUGAGUCUAAGCCUGCUCUUCGUAUGAUAUUUUCUUUGUACAAUACAGUGAUAGAGAGCGCCCUUGCCUGAUCCCCUUGCCAAUUGGAAACCAUUCUUUUCCUCCAUAUUCUGUUCCAAUGCACAAAAUGUUGUCAUUAUAUGGAACCUGAGAGUUGACGCAUAAUUGUAAGUAAUCCACAUAAAAUAUAUCAGAUAUCCCCAGGUGUUUCUGGAGAUUUGGGAUAAUAAAGCAUGAUUUUUAAAAAGUGCAGUAACAGAAAGUGAUAGAAAGGUGACAGUCUCCACAACAACACCAUCAUGGAGAAAUGUUGCCCCACAGACAUAUGAAAACACAACAAUCCUGCUCCCCCAAAUCUCCCGAUCCCUUUGUUAUCCCCAAAUACCUCAGUUUUCUUUGACAGUCCAUCUCUUAAUGGUGUCAUUAAGUGAUAUGAUAUCACUUACUGUUGCCAUUUUGGGAGGGACUGCAAUGGAAAAUUGGUAUUUGGGCUUGCUAGGUACGUAUACAGGACCAGUGGGUGGGUGAAUUGAGCUGGAUGAAUCCAGCCUGUCUCUGUCCUAAGGAAUAACAUGGGAGUUAAAAGGGCUCAAAUAAAAGACCUUUUCUGAAAUAAAGCUUUCUGGAAUGUGCCUUAGCCAUGUUGGCUGGAAGUUAUAGUCAAAAAGUAACUUUCCCAAGCUCAGUAAAGAAAAGAUGGAGAGGGAAUCUAAAAGUCAGCCAGGAACCCAGUGUUGAGAUUUUCAGUCCUGAAACUAAAAUAUCUGGUCCAAAAUUCUGUCAACAUUGCCAAUGGUACUAAAGUGUUGAUUUCCUUUUGUGAGUGUCCUUGGGUCCCAUGCUGAGAGAAAGGCGGUAUAUUAAAUCAAAUUAAAUAAUAGAGUUUGUUGGCAGCUUCAGGUUUUGGCAGAGAUGGACAUAGACAUCAUGGAACCUACAGGGGCAUCCAAAGCAGACACAGCUGAUAAAGGUUUCUUAAAAUUUUGUAUUUCAGUUACCAGAGUGGACCAAAAAUCUCUUUUAUCUCUAAUUUAGUUUAUCCCCAAACAGGUAGAUACUACACUCAGUCACAUCCUAGGUUACUAUAGAUUGCCUGGUGUGGAAAAAUGUGCUUCUAAAUAUAUUGAAUGAAACCUGGGGAGUGUGAUAAAUGAUUGAAAAACGGUUUACAAAAGCGAUUUAUCUCCAAGCUGCCAGAAGGUGAACUUCCCCGUUUCAAGGCCAAAGUCCUUUGUUGCAGAACAGCUUAUUUAACACGAAGCAGGAACAAUCUGUAACUUCUUUGGCUGUUUGGAUGAAAUGUAAACUUCAGCAAAACGGAAUGCCAGGAAUAUUUGCUGUGGCUGAAGUGGUGCUCCUGCAAAAUAUGGUUUGCUAUACACUUCUUUUAAGGAGUGUUAUCACUUGAUUUCGUACAUUUCAGUGUAUUUUUAUCCCUCCUUUUACCCCUAGUAGACCCUUUUAACAGGCAAAUGUUGUCACUUGAAGGACUGUGGCAUGUUUUCCCCGUCCCAAUCCCCUGCCCUGCAAAUAGGAUCAAAUAAGCCCAGAGCUUGCUAUACAACCUACAAUUUAUCUGCUAUACAAGUGUUGAAACAGGUCAGAAGGCUUGGUUAGUCUGAAAGUACUAUAUUUCUUAUAAUUCCCAUAUCAGGAAAGUGUUUUCAGAAUGGUUUGUCGUAAGAAAAAAAAGGCAAGCCAUGAUAGAAAUUGGGGGGGUGGACCCAGAGGGAUAGCUUUUUUUAAAAUGAUCAUUUUGCCCUUCAAUCUCCUCUUGGAAGUGUGGGGACAUUUUGAUACAUUUUUGCAGGAGACUGUGGUGGGGAUGGAGAUGGUCCAAGGUCUCCUGGGGGACCCUUAUAUCCUAGCAGUUGUCCACCUUCGUAGAGGUCGAUAAAAUUAUGCAUGAGGCUGAGAAAAUAGAGAGGAAGAUUUUCUAUUAUUUUUUAAAGUCUUUUUAAUUGAUUUUUCUUUAUUUAAAGAGACACAAACAAACCAAAAUAAAAAGGGGAACUACAGAAUAUCAGACCAUGGUGAGACCUUUGUGUCAAUGUUGUCGGUUUUCAGUUGUCAUUAAGUCAGGUCUUGUGGUGAUGGUUGUGUGCCUUCAAGAUGUUUCGGCAAACCUAUCCUGGGGUUUUCUUGGCAAGAUUUGUUCAGAGGAUGUUGGCCAUUGCCUUCCCCUGAGGUUGAGAGCACCAUGCAGGCCCUGUAAGUCAGGUUUCCAGCUGAGGAUUCCAUUAAGGGAGUAGUCCUCCAACGAACUGUGGUUUUGCACAAGGCCCAUGGCUUUCAGCAAAUUCCUCUCUAAAAGGCUGCUUGGGAUCUGAAUGCAUUUUCAAGGUGAUUGUUUUUUAUUCUCAAAUGAUAUUAAAGAAAACCAUGUAUCCCCAAAAGCUGCUUCAUCUCCUACAGCUCUGUUGACAUAAAUAAAUCUCACUAUUAAUGGGAAGACACCUCAAUCUCAAAAUCCAUAACUUUGACCCCAAAAACUGCCCUCGACUUAUACAUGAGGUCAACUUAUAGUCAAGUAUAUAUGGCAUUUCUGCAGUACAGAUACAGUCCUUGUUCUUUUCCUCCAGGUAGAAGAAGGAUCUUCCUCUGCAGAAGGUGCUCCUUUGUUUGGGGUCCUUUGAUUCAACCUGUUCUGGGUUUCUCCCCCUAUGAGAUCAAAAUGAUGGAAUCUCACCAGGUUUUUCUGGUUGGACUAGUUCCACUCCCAUACCACAAAGGAAAGGAAAGCCAGUAGUAACAACCAGCUGUCUUGUUAAUGAAAGCAGUUAUUACUCAUUUCACAGUUGUUAACAUUAAUGGUUUAGAGAAGGAACAGCCCAAGAAUCUAACUGUGGCUUUUAACAAGUUUGAAUCUGCGUUCACUGCUUUGAACUUUUGCCAGCUAGAAACAUGAGGGGAAAACAGGAUAUGGUUUCUGCUGAUUCUGCAGUUCCUGUGAGAACAAGUGAUGGGAAUGGAAAUGAAACAUUUUUAUCACAAAGCAUCAGCUUUGUCUGCAAGGAAGUCAAUAGCAGUGUUUAAAAGUUACAGAAAAAGGGAAAAAAAGUGGAAGAUGGGGUGGCAGGGCAGGAGAUGGAUGAAGGAAUCAAGCAGCUAAUGUGAAUUUGAAGAAAUGGACUGAUAUUCAUGAAAAUUCAAGCUAAAAUAAAUCAUUUUCAGAGGUUUUCCUGAAAGAUCUGCAUCAAUCCGCAUCUUCGGCAAUGUGAAUAAGCUUCCAAAUUGAUCAUUCAAGGGAAUGGAGGCGGUUCCAUUUUAUCCCAAAAUGGUGGCAUGUGAGAAUAACAAAUGGGUCACAAUGACUUGAAGAGAUUCACAAACCAAAAACAACAUGGGAAUAACAAAGCCAAUGUGCAUCAAUGCAGCAAUCCACAUUUCCUUGGGACAAAAAAAGGAGUGUGAAUGAUCCCCAGAAUUCAUCAUUACUUGCAGUGCCAUUUGGAUCCCCACUUUUCUUUUUGCAAAGUCCUGUUCUUACUCUCUGGUUUUGGUAGCUGUCCAGGAAAUUUAUUAUUAUUAUUUUUUUGCUGGUAGUGUCCAUGUCUGGCAGCUUAUACUGAAAAAUAGCUAGCUGGUGUGUUUUCUAAUUAUCUUCUACUCCUUUUCUCUCCUUUAAAUGCUUCAGCAAAGGUCAUUGUAGGAAAUGUGCUGACUGGAAGAUA
Long non-coding RNA from Sceloporus undulatus (fence lizard), 4659 nucleotides. RefSeq lists it as uncharacterized. The record is from RefSeq and is a predicted model, not a curated record. The transcript has 3 exons. Lineage: Eukaryota; Metazoa; Chordata; Lepidosauria; Squamata; Phrynosomatidae.